AACGAACGCUGGCGGCGUGCCUAACACAUGCAAGUCGAACGAGAAAGGGGCUUCGGCUCCGAGUAAAGUGGCGCACGGGUGAGUAACACGUGGGUAACCUGCCUCUAAGAUUGGGAUAACUCGUCGAAAGAUGAGCUAAUACCGGAUAAGACCACAGUUCCCGCGGGAACAGAGGUCAAAGGUAGCCUCUGCUUGCAAGCUAUCACUUAGAGAUGGGCCUGCGCACCAUUAGCUAGUUGGUAGGGUAACGGCCUACCAAGGCAAAGAUGGUUAGCUGGUCUGAGAGGAUGAUCAGCCACACUGGAACUGAGACACGGUCCAGACUCCUACGGGAGGCAG
This 339-nucleotide ribosomal RNA is filed under the name uncultured Pseudomonadota bacterium. Its description in RNAcentral is "bacterial SSU rRNA". It matches the Rfam family "Bacterial small subunit ribosomal RNA", at positions 29 to 351 of the family's 1533-position model. The record is from RNAcentral. Lineage: Bacteria; Pseudomonadati; Pseudomonadota.